GACGAACGCUGGCGGCGUGCCUAAUACAUGCAAGUCGAACGAACCGCGACUAGGUGCUUGCACUUGGUCAAGGUGAGUGGCGAACGGGUGAGUAACACGUGGGUAACCUACCUCAUAGUGGGGGAUAACAGUCGGAAACGACUGCUAAAACCGCAUAGGACAUAGGAUCACAUGAUCCAGUGAGGAAAGGUGGCGCAAGCUAUCGCUAAGAGAUGGACCCGCGGUGCAUUAGCUAGUUGGUAGGGUAAAGGCCUACCAAGGCGAUGAUGCAUAGCCGACCUGAGAGGGUGAUCGGCCACAUUGGGACUGAGACACGGCCCAAACUCCUACGGGAGGCAGCAGUAGGGAAUCUUCCGCAAUGGACGCAAGUCUGACGGAGCAACGCCGCGUGAGUGAAGAAGGUCUUCGGAUCGUAAAGCUCUGUUGUUAGAGAAGAACAGCGCAUAGAGUAACUGUUAUGCGUGUGACGGUAUCUAACCAGAAAGCCACGGCUAACUACGUG
Molecule: ribosomal RNA, 502 nt
Filed under: uncultured bacterium
Lineage: Bacteria
Description: partial 16S ribosomal RNA
Rfam family: Bacterial small subunit ribosomal RNA
Source: RNAcentral